Molecule: ribosomal RNA, 208 nt
Filed under: uncultured bacterium
Lineage: Bacteria
Description: partial 16S ribosomal RNA
Rfam family: Bacterial small subunit ribosomal RNA
Source: RNAcentral
UUCUCAGUUCGGAUCGGAGUCUGNAACCCGACUCCGUGAAGCUGGAUUCGCUAGUAAUCGCGCAUCAGCCAUGGCGCGGUGAAUACGUUCCCGGGCCUUGUACACACCGCCCGUCAAGCCAUGGGAGCCGGGGGCGCCUGAAGUCCGGGACCGCGAGGACCGGCCUAGGGCGAAACUGGUAACUGGGGCUAAGUCGUAACAAGGUAUC